Molecule: ribosomal RNA, 2854 nt
Filed under: Armatimonadetes bacterium Uphvl-Ar2
Lineage: Bacteria; Bacillati; Armatimonadota
Description: bacterial LSU rRNA
Rfam family: Bacterial large subunit ribosomal RNA
Source: RNAcentral
AGAGAAGGUGCGCGGCGAAUGCCUAGGGACAAGUUGCCGACGAAGGACGCGUAAGCGGCGAAACGCUCCGGGGAGCAGCACAAAUGCUUUGAUCCGGAGAUUUCCGAAUGGGGAAACCCACCAAGGGUAAUGCCUUGGUACCCACUCCUGAACACAUAGGGAGUGUGGAGGGCACCGGGUGAACUGAAACAUCUAAGUAACCCGUGGAAAAGAAAUCGAAGAGACUCCGUCAGUAGCGGCGAGCGAACACGGACCAGCCUAAACCAGCCGGCAUGCCGGUUGGGGUUGUGGGGCCUCUAACUUAACCUCCCUGAGAGAGCCAUCCGGUUCUUUCAGCGAGGUUGAGAAAAGGAGACUAGAGAGAGAUAAAAGAACAGAUUGGAAAGUCUGGCCAUAGAGGGUGACAGCCCCGUAUUCUAAAUCAAACUCAGAUUCAAGAGGUACCCGAGUAGCGCGGAUCACGAGGAAUUCCGCGUGAAUCUGCCCGGACCACCGGGUAAGGCUAAGUACGACUUGUCACCGAUAGUGCAUCCAGUACCGUGAGGGAAAGGUGAAAAGAACCCCGGGAGGGGAGUGAAAUAGAACCUGAAACCGCGACAUCUACAAACAGUCGGAGCACCAUGUGGGGAGCGAUCCCUUCAAGUGCGACGGCGUGCCUUUUGCAGAAUGAGCCUGCGAGUUGUAGGUAAUGGCAAGGUUAAGCGUUUGAGACGCGAAGCCGAAGGGAAACCGAGUCUGAAUAGGGCGUCGAGUCAUUAUCUGCAGACCCGAAACUGCGUGAUCUAGCCAUGGUCAGGUUGAAGUGUGGGUGACACCACAUGGAGGACCGAACUCAUUGAUGUUGAAAAAUCUCGGGAAGAACUGUGGUUAGUCCGGUGAAAUGCCAAUCGAACGCAGAGAUAGCUGGUUCUCCCCGAAAUGCAUUGAGGUGCAGCGUUGGCUGUUGUCAUGUGGGGGUAGAGCACUGAAUGGGCUAGGGGGCUUACCCGCUUACCGAACCCAACCAAACUCCGAAUACCAUAUGAUUAAGCCAGCAGUGAGACUGCGAGGGAUAAGCCCCGUGGUCAAAAGGGAAACAGCCCAGAUCGACAGCUAAGGGCCCUAAACGACGAUUAAGUGUGAAACGAUGUGAGAUCGCAUAAACAGCCAGGAGGUUGGCUUGGAAGCAGCCAUCCUUUAAAAAGUGCGUAAUAGCUUACUGGCCGAAUGUGAUCUUGCGCGGAAAAUGUAAGGGGGCUAAAAUCGUCUUCCGAAGCUUCGAGUCCAAAUAUGGGCGGUAGGGGAGCGUCGGAUAUGCAGAGAAGCUUGAGCGUAAGCACAGGUGGAGCGUAUUCGAGUGAGAAUGCAGGCAUGAGUAGCGCUAAUAGAAGUGAGAAUCUUCUACGCCGAAAACCUAAGGUUUCUCCGGCUAUGUUCGUCAGACGGAGGUUAGGCGGUCCUAAGGCCAGGCCAGAAGGCGUAGCCGAUGGACAGUGGGUUGAUAUUCCCACCCCGGCAGUUGUGCGAUGGAUGACGCUUUUCGAUACUUUGGACACACCGUUGGUUGUUGUGAUCCGCGCCUUCGGGCAAGGUACUCAGGGUUGAGAAGGGCCGAGAAAAACUCCAAAAGCUUCAGCAACUGUCGACCGUACUGCAAACCGACACAGGUAGGUGAGUCGAGGAGACUAAGGCGUUCGAGAGAACUCUCGUUAAGGAACUAGGCAAACGGGUCCCGUAACUUAGGGAGAAGGGACACCAUCUUUGAUGGUCGCAGCGAAGCAGCCCAGGCGACUGUUUACCAAAAACACAGGUCUCUGCUAAGGUGAAAACCGAUGUAUAGGGGCUGACGCCUGCCCAAUGCCAGUAGAUUAAUCUGAGUUGUUAGGAGCAAUCCAAAGCAUCGAGGUGAAGUCCUGGUGAAUGGCGGCCGUAACUCUAACGGUCCUAAGGUAGCGAAAUUCCUUGUCGGCUAAAUACCGACCCGCAUGAAAGGCGUAACGACUUGGGCACUGUCUCAACGAGAAGCUCGGUGAAAUUGUAGUACCCGUGAAGAUGCGGGUUACGCGCAGUAGGACGAAAAGACCCCGUGGAGCUUUACUACAGCUUCAGAUUGUCGUUUGGGUGUAGAUGUAGAGCGUAGGUGGGAGCUUCGGCACCAAUGGAACACCACCCUUUUGCAUCUGAACGACUAACGUGGUCCCUUAUCGGGAUCGCGAACAUUCUGUGGCGGGUAGUUUGACUGGGGCGGUCGCCUCCUAAAAGGUAACGGAGGCGUACAAAGCUACACUCAGGCUGGUCAGAAAUCAGCCGUUGAGCGUAUAGGUAUAGAGUGUGGUUGACUGUGAGACAAACAAGUCGAGCAGGUGCGAAAGCAGGUCUAAGUGACCCUCUGAUUGUGCGUGGGCACGUCAGGGUUCAACGGAUAAAAGCUACCCCGGGGAUAACAGGCUGAUCUUGCCCGAGCGAUCAUAGCGACGGCAUGGUUUGGCACCUCGAUGUCGGCUCGUCACAUCCUGGGGCUGCACAAGGUCCCAAGGGUUCCGGAGUUCACGGAUUAAAGUGGCACGCGAGCUGGGUUCAGAACGGCGUAAGCCAGUUCGGUCUCUAUCCACUGUGCGCGUUAGAAAAUUGAGGGGAGUCGCUCCUAGUACGAGAGGACCGGAGUGAACUGACCUAUGGUGUACCAGUUGUCCCGCCAGGGGCAUACGCUGGGUAGCCAAGUCGGGAAGGGAUAAGCGCUGAAAGCAUAUAAGCGCCAAGCCCACCCCAAGAUGAAUUUUCUUUGAAGAUCCCUUGAAGACUACAAGGUUGAUAGGUCACAGGUGUAAGCGUGGUAACGCGUUAAGCUAAGUGAUACUAAUUGGUCGUAAGUUAG